Molecule: ribosomal RNA, 373 nt
Filed under: uncultured bacterium
Lineage: Bacteria
Description: bacterial SSU rRNA
Rfam family: Bacterial small subunit ribosomal RNA
Source: RNAcentral
GUAGGGUGCGAGCGUUAAUCGGAAUUACUGGGCGUAAAGGGUGCGCAGGCGGCCCCGCAAGUCAGACGUGAAAUCCCCGGGCUCAACUUGGGAAUGGCGUUUGAAACUACGGGGCUGGAGUGUGGCAGAGGGAGGUGGAAUUCCACGUGUAGCGGUGAAAUGCGUAGAGAUGUGGAGGAACACCAAUGGCGAAGGCAGCCUCCUGGGCCAACACUGACGCUCAUGCACGAAAGCGUGGGGAGCAAACAGGAUUAGAUACCCUGGUAGUCCACGCCCUAAACGAUGAUGACUAGUUGUUGGAGGAGUUAAAUCCUUUAGUAACGCAGCUAACGCGCGAAGUCAUCCGCCUGGGGAGUACGGUCGCAAGAUUAAA